GCGGGGCCCGAGGUCACGCACACGGAGCUCCCAUGCUGAUCGCCGUGGCACCUGCAGCUACCCCCGGAACCCGAGGCGGGAACAUGCAGAUGAAAAUUAACUUCAGCGACCUCACCCCCAUGUCGCCACUCGCUUCUUUAUAAUCAUUGUUUCUGCUGCGCUGCAUGUUCUUUUUAAAAGAUGUGCACCGAAGUUUGUUUUACAAAACUGGCAUCAUGAUGAUAUGCAAAUGCAUUUUGUUGUGAUUUUUUUUUUUUUCACUGAAAGCAUCAUGAAUAUUUCCUUAUUCUCGCACUCCAUUGUAUUUGACAAACCACAGAGGCAAGCAAGAAGGUAACAGAGUGGCUUGUGUGACCAAAAAGCCCAGGGACUUUAACGUGCUGGAUUUAAUCGCUUCGAGGAUUUCAUUCUCCAUCUUUUGGCUCUGCUUCUUCACAAUGUGGGUCCCGUGUUCUCCAGUGGCAGAUAGACCUGUGAAGGACUGUGAAGGAAGGCCUCACUGGUACCCAAGCAAACCCGAGAAAAACUGCACCUUUGCUAGAGGUUUCCGGGUCCUGGUUCUCACGGCUAUGGGCCCAGCCCUGAAUCUGUCAUAUUCGACGGCAAGAGUGUGUGGAGCGGCCGCGGCCAAGAGCAAGGUGCGGGGUGGGUGGGCCCGCUGGGUGGGCCCGCCCCAGCGCUACAGGGUGCUGCGGUACCGCCCCAGCGUCCCCACUUAGGAUGCGGUGCUCUUCAUCCUUCCCCAGAGCGGAGAACGGCCCCUCGUGCCUCCAAGGUCACACUGAAGAAACUUCUCUCCUUUUAAGACUGCAGUCUGCAUGCUGGAGGAAAAGUGAAAUGACAAACUAGCCACUGACAAAUUUGAUUUUGAAAAUCCAGGACACAGACUCAGGAAAAAAAUGGUGCUUCUGCUGGUGUCCACUCCACUCCCAAUCCUCUUGGGCAUAUGCAGGAGGACUGGAACACAACCACCAAUAUCUAGAUCAAAAGUGAACAAGAGGAAACCCACAAGCAACGAAAGCACUGAAUCCUUCCUUCUCUUAUGAAAUUGGUCACUUCCCCCCCUCCCCAGAGGCAAAAUAUAUUAUGUUCUUGCCCUUCAAAUAAUGAAUUGUUUGAUCUCAACAAACACAAAUUGCAAUAAGUUCAUACUGCAGCCAGUUUCACAUUAAAAUUGUUCUAUUAAAUGAACAGUAGAAACCAUUUUAGGAUGGUAAAGGCCAGGAAACAAAAAUUUAUGAAAAUGCCAUAAAAUUUUGUUCAUUCUUAAAAAUAUGUUAAUCUCUUUUUAACAGAAAUGCACAUACACAAAUAUCCUGUUAAAAAAUAAAAUCUGUUCCCUUAAUUUUUUUCCAGGCCAUUACACCCUACUAAAGAGGAAGAAAAUUAGCUGCUAUCAGUUUCAUUUCUUUUCUUGUACUCUGCCCACUACCACUCAUGCAACUACCUUCUCUUCUAAUCUACAUGUGGUCUCAACAAAUUCCAAGAUUCACAGUAUCACCUAUAUGCUAAUGACGAUCACAUCAGUUUUUCCUGCCUCUAUUUUCAAAUAGAUCCUGAACAUUUCCCGAAUAUAGUAAGAUAAAUAUCUCAAAUUCAACAUGCUCAAAAUCCAAAACUGUUCUUCUGUGUUUCAGUUAUAGUAUCACCACCUACUUGGUUACCUAAGCUUUACAAAUAUUAGCAAUUUGCAAUUUAGCAGAUCGUUAUAUAGAGCAAUAAGCCUUGUAUUGAACACGAAGGAGGAUAAAAGAUAAGUAAGAUAUGGUCCUGGGCAAGAACGCUCCCCCAUCUGAAGAUUCCAGCAAGCAAGAUGACACAAUUCCAGGUGCUAAGGAGUAAAGGACCGAGUAAAUGUACCUGACACUAUUGGUAAUUGGACUUAGAGGAGAGACGAAACAAGUGCUAGAUUUUGAAAGUUAAGUACAAUGUGGUAAAAUAUGUUCUAAGCAAAAGAACAGCCAGUGUUAAGAUACAUAAGCGUCAAUGACUCCAAUGGCUUCAGUGAAGCUUGAGUAUUGAGGAAAUUUAGAAAGAACGAAGUAAUAAAUGUGGCCAGGAAGGCAGGUAUGGCUAUAACUGUAGCAGAUCUUAUGUGCCAACUCUAAAGAGUUAGGGUGUUGGGCCUCCCCAGUGGUGCA
Molecule: long non-coding RNA, 2141 nt
Organism: Talpa occidentalis (Iberian mole)
Lineage: Eukaryota; Metazoa; Chordata; Mammalia; Eulipotyphla; Talpidae
Exons: 3
Source: RefSeq, a predicted model, not a curated record